AGUGAACGCUGGCGGUAGGCCUAACACAUGCAAGUCGAACGGCAGCACAGUAAGAGCUUGCUCUUACGGGUGGCGAGUGGCGGACGGGUGAGGAAUACAUCGGAAUCUACUUUUUCGUGGGGGAUAACGUAGGGAAACUUACGCUAAUACCGCAUACGACCUACGGGUGAAAGCAGGGGAUCUUCGGACCUCGCGCGAUUGAAUGAGCCGAUGUCGGAUUAGCUAGUUGGCGGGGUAAAGGCCCACCAAGGCGACGAUCCGUAGCUGGUCUGAGAGGAUGAUCAGCCACACUGGAACUGAGACACGGUCCAGGCUCCUACGGGAGGCAGCAGUGGGGAAUAUUGGACAAUGGGCGCAAGCCUGAUCCAGCCAUACCGCGUGGGUGAAGAAGGCCUUCGGGUUGUAAAGCCCUUUUGUUGGGAAAGAAAAGCAGCAGGUUAAUACCCCGCUGUUCUGACGGUACCCAAAGAAUAAGCACCGGCUAACUUCGUG
RNAcentral lists this ribosomal RNA (492 nucleotides) under uncultured bacterium. RNAcentral's name for it is "partial 16S ribosomal RNA". It matches the Rfam family "Bacterial small subunit ribosomal RNA", at positions 29 to 507 of the family's 1533-position model. The record is from RNAcentral.